UAAUGGUCUCAACCCGGUACGGAAUUAGACCCAACCCGUUGUAGUCUAGAAAGUAGUUCUUUAAAAUUUUGAAGUGGCCCAAUUUAAGUCAUCUCUAGUUAGAUUGGUCAUAAUUAAAGUGUAUUUAUUGCAUGUGUGUAGCUUUUGUGUGUUAUAUGAUGUGUUUAAAAGUUGUUUUUUGUGUAUUCUCCAGGAACUCAUUUGUUGGCGGAAGGAUUAAAGAUGUACCACCCACCAGCAGUCAGGAGUUUUCAAAGUGGUGAAUUUAAACUGUGUUACAACAGAGUGAAGAUUUCUGAAAAAAGUAGAUGGCUAACCUAUUAUAUUUUGGGCCUCAUUUGACUUAAAUAGUGUUGAUGUUUAAAGUUGAAGACAGUAUAUAAUUCAUCAAGAACAGUGGAAUCCUGAAUUAAGCCUCAAAUGUGACUGAUUUACUAUAGAACAAAGAACACGAAAAUUCACCGGGCCGUCACCAAGAGGAGAAAUUUGAAAAAUUGGAACUGGUUGAUGGAUAUGGAUGAAACUUUGCAUCAGUGUUGUGUUUAUGCAUAGAAAUCAGGAAAAUAAAGGAUAACUGACAGACCAUGCAGUUACCAAAGCCGGGGUUUGAGUACAGGACCUUACCUUAUACUGGUUAAGAUCUAUGGAAGAACUCUUUCAGCUCAGUUUGGCAGCAGAUUUGUCAGGACAAGUUGAGAAGGAACUCAUUUGUUGGCGGAAGGAUUAAAGAUGUACCACCCACCAGCUGUCAGGAGUUUUCAAAGUGGUGAAUUUAAACUGUGUUACAACAGAGUGAAGAUUUCUGAAAAAAGUAGAUGGCUAACCUAUUGUAUUUUGGGCCUCAUUUGACUUAAAUAGUGUUGAUGUUUAAAGUUGAAGACAGUAUGUAAUUCAUCAAGAACAGUGGAAUCCUGAAUUAAGCCUCAAAUGUGACUGAUUUACUAUAGAACAAAGAACACGAAAAUUCACCAGGCCGUCA
This is a long non-coding RNA of Ruditapes philippinarum (Manila clam), 979 nucleotides long. RefSeq lists it as uncharacterized. The transcript is spliced from 3 exons. Lineage: Eukaryota; Metazoa; Mollusca; Bivalvia; Venerida; Veneridae. The record is from RefSeq and is a predicted model, not a curated record.